GAUGAACGCUGGCGGCGUGCCUAAUACAUGCAAGUCGAGCGAACAGAUGAGGAGCUUGCUCCUCUGACGUUAGCGGCGGACGGGUGAGUAACACGUGGAUAGCCUACCUAUAAGACUGGGAUAACUUCGGGAAACCGGAGCUAAUACCGGAUAAUAUAUUGAACCGCAUGGUUCAAUAGUGAAAGACGGUUUUGCUGUCACUUAUAGAUGGAUCCGCGCCGCAUUAGCUAGUUGGUAAGGUAACGGCUUACCAAGGCAACGAUGCGUAGCCGACCUGAGAGGGUGAUCGGCCACACUGGAACUGAGACACGGUCCAGACUCCUACGGGAGGCAGCAGAAGGGAAUCUUCCGCAAUGGGCGAAAGCCUGACGGAGCAACGCCGCGUGAGUGAUGAAGGUCUUCGGAUCGUAAAACUCUGUUAUUAGGGAAGAACAAAUGUGUAAGUAACUAUGCACGUCUUGACGGUACCUAAUCAGAAAGCCACGGCUAACUACGUG
RNAcentral lists this ribosomal RNA (497 nucleotides) under uncultured bacterium. Its description in RNAcentral is "partial 16S ribosomal RNA". It matches the Rfam family "Bacterial small subunit ribosomal RNA", at positions 28 to 507 of the family's 1533-position model. The record is from RNAcentral.